Molecule: ribosomal RNA, 152 nt
Filed under: uncultured Actinomycetes bacterium
Lineage: Bacteria; Bacillati; Actinomycetota; Actinomycetes
Description: uncultured actinobacterium 16S ribosomal RNA
Rfam family: Bacterial small subunit ribosomal RNA
Source: RNAcentral
ACACCCAAUCGUAGCUGACGCAGCGACGCCGCGUGGAGGAGAGGCCUUCGGGUUGUAAACUCCUGUCGGAGGGACGAAGGGCCAGAUUUCUCGGGGAUGACGCCACCUCUAGAUCUGGGCCCGGAUACGUGCGUGUCAGCAGCCGCAGUAAU